CCUACGGGGCGCUGCAGUGGGGAAUAUUGGACAAUGGGCGAAAGCCUGAUCCAGCCAUGCCGCGUGUGUGAAGAAGGCCUUCGGGUUGUAAAGCACUUUCAGUGGGGAAGAAAGCCUUGGGGCUAAUACCCUCGAGGAAGGACAUCACCCACAGAAGAAGCACCGGCUAACUCCGUGCCAGCAGCCGCGGUAAUACGGAGGGUGCGAGCGUUAAUCGGAAUUACUGGGCGUAAAGCGCGCGUAGGCGGUCUGAUAAGCCGGUUGUGAAAGCCCCGGGCUCAACCUGGGAACGGCAUCCGGAACUGUCAGGCUAGAGUGCAGGAGAGGAAGGUAGAAGUCCCGGUGUAGCGGUGAAAUGCGUAGAGAUCGGGAGGAAUACCAGUGGCGAAGGCGGCCUUCUGGACUGACACUGACGCUGAGGUGCGAAAGCGUGGGUAGCAAACAGGAUUAGAUACCCUAGUAGUC
This 465-nucleotide ribosomal RNA is filed under the name Vreelandella stevensii. RNAcentral's name for it is "partial 16S ribosomal RNA". It matches the Rfam family "Bacterial small subunit ribosomal RNA", at positions 338 to 795 of the family's 1533-position model. The record is from RNAcentral. Lineage: Bacteria; Pseudomonadati; Pseudomonadota; Gammaproteobacteria; Oceanospirillales; Halomonadaceae.